UACGUAGGGUGCAGGCGUUAAUCGGAAUUACUGGGCGUAAAGCAUCCGUAGCCGGUUCUACAAGUCUUCCGUUAAAUCCACCUGCUCAACAGAUGGGCUGCGGAAGAUACUAUGGAGCUAGGAGGCGGGAGAGGCAAGCGGUACUCGAUGGGUAGGGGUAAAAUCCGUUGAUCCAUUGAAGACCACCAAUGGCGAAGGCAGCUCGCUGGGACGGUACUGACGCUGAGGCGCGAAAGCGUGGGGAGCAAACAGG
This 253-nucleotide ribosomal RNA is filed under the name uncultured bacterium. Its description in RNAcentral is "partial 16S ribosomal RNA". It matches the Rfam family "Bacterial small subunit ribosomal RNA", at positions 524 to 776 of the family's 1533-position model. The record is from RNAcentral.